This 1320-nucleotide ribosomal RNA is filed under the name Elachiptera insignis. Its description in RNAcentral is "16S ribosomal RNA". Lineage: Eukaryota; Metazoa; Arthropoda; Insecta; Diptera; Chloropidae. The record is from RNAcentral.
AUAAUAAUUAUUUAUUAAUUUUAUUUUAUUUAAAUUUAUUUUAUUAAAAAUAAUUAUAAAAAUUUAAGUUUUAGUAUAAUAUAUAGGAAAAAUAAUAUUAAUUAUAGUUUAUUAGUAUUGUAAAAGAAAAUUGAAAUAAUAUGAAAAAUUUUUAUUUAAAAAGUAAAUUUAAUUUAUUGUACCUUGUGUAUCAGGGUUUAUUAAUUAAAAAAUAAAAUUUUAUUAUUCUCGAAUUUAAAAGAGUUAAUAAAUUAUAAAAGUUAUUGUAAUAAAAUUAUUUUUAAUAAUUUAUUUGAAAUGAAAAGUUAUUCGUUUUUAAAUAUAUCUAGUUUUUUAAGAAAUAAAUUUAAUUUAUAAUUUAUAAAUAUAUUAUUUUAAUUUAUUAAUAUAAUAUUUUAUAAAUUAAAUAUUUUAAGGGAUAAGCUUUAAAAUAAAUUUUUAAAAAUUAUUAAAUAAUUUUAUAAAUAUAUGUUUAGAAUUAGCAAUUAUUUAUAAUUUUGUUAUAAAUUAUUUAUUAAAUUAUAUUAUUUAAUUUAAUUUUAAAUUUUUAUUAAAAUUUUUAUUUAAAUUUUAUAAAUAAAUUAAUAAUGAUAAAAUUAGUAUAUUUAUUUUAAAUAUAAUUAUUUAUGUAAAGUUUAUAUAAAGAAUUCGGCAAAAUUAAUGUUCGCCUGUUUAACAAAAACAUGUCUUUUUGUAAUAAUUAAAAAGUCUGACCUGCCCAUUGAUAAUUAUUUAACGGCCGCAGUAUAUUAACUGUGCAAAGGUAGCAUAAUCAUUAGUUUUUUAAUUGAAAGCUGGAAUGAAUGGUUGGACGAAAUAUUAACUGUUUCAUAUAAAUUUAUAAUAGAAUUUAAUUUUUUAAUUAAAAAGUUAAAAUGUAUUUAAAAGACGAGAAGACCCUAUGAAUCUUUAUAUUUUAUUAAUAAUAUAUUUUUUAGAUUUACUUUAUCUAUUUUUAAUAAAAUAUUUUAUUGGGGUGAUAAUAAAAUUUAUUAAACUUUUAUUAAUAUUUCACAUUAAUUUAUGAACUAUUGAUCCAUUAUUAAUGAUUAAAAAUUUAAGUUACUCUAGGGAUAACAGCGUAAUAUUUUUGGAGAGUUCUUAUUGAUAAAAAUGAUUGCGACCUCGAUGUUGGAUUAAGAUAUAAUUUUAGGUGUAGAAGCUUAAAUUUUGAGUCUGUUCGACUUUUAAAUUCUUACAUGAUCUGAGUUCAAACCGGUGUGAGCCAGGUUGGUUUCUAUCUUUAAUAAAUUAAAAUAUUUUAGUACGAAAGGAGUAAAUAUUUAAAUUAUAAAAUUUUAGUAAUUGAAUUAAAUUAAU